GACAGAGGCCUCAAGCGUUAGGCGGAAUCACUGGGCUUAAAGCGUGUGUAGGCGGAUCGUUAAGUGUCUUGUGAAAUCCCACGGCUCACCCGUGGAACUGCUGGGCAUACUGGCGAUCUUGGGCCAACUAGGGGCAACUGGAACAAGCGGUGGAGCGGUGAAAUGCGUAGAUAUCGCUUGGAACGCCAAAGGUGAAAACAGGUUGCUGGGUUGUGCCGACGCUGAGGCACGAAAGCCAGGGGAGCAAACGGG
Molecule: ribosomal RNA, 252 nt
Filed under: uncultured bacterium
Lineage: Bacteria
Description: partial 16S ribosomal RNA
Rfam family: Bacterial small subunit ribosomal RNA
Source: RNAcentral